UGAGGUCCUUAUGCUCAAGCUAUGCU
This 26-nucleotide non-coding RNA is filed under the name Mus musculus (house mouse). Lineage: Eukaryota; Metazoa; Chordata; Mammalia; Rodentia; Muridae. The record is from RNAcentral.